Small nucleolar RNA from Hippopotamus amphibius kiboko, 126 nucleotides. RefSeq annotates it as small nucleolar RNA SNORA40. NCBI's taxonomy places the organism in Eukaryota, Metazoa, Chordata, Mammalia, Artiodactyla, Hippopotamidae. The record is from RefSeq and is a predicted model, not a curated record. The transcript has a single exon.
GAUACUUUUCAGGGGUUCUAAUGAGCUCAAAACUAUAUUGGCCAGACAGGUGCAAAAAUAAAUCCUCUUUUGCAACCCAGAACUCAUUGUUCAGUAUGAGUUUUGAUACAUAUAAGAAGGAACAUG